GGGCAAUACAGCACAUCUACGGUGAAAGCUUCAGGUUACUGAAAGGGACCAGCGGACAGUUCCAGGUCAUGCUGACCUCAGCAGAAGGGCGAGGCCAGAGAGGCAGCGGUCAUAUGAGAGUAGUAGAUGCCAUUUGAUCAUUUGGGCCAUUAGAUGGAAAGGCAAUUACUUGGGUGAAAAAGGAGAACCCUUAGUAGAGAAAGCUGCAAAAGACCGAAGCAAAAGAAAAAAAUCUCCAGACUCACUGGUGUUCCUUAAAAAACGAGCUCUGGUUCUCGGCCUAUCUAGAGGGCUGUGAAUGACACAAAGCCUGACCCUGCGAUGAACUUCGUGUUUCAGGCGUCUGCGGAUUUGUCUGCUGGCUUGCAGGGGUGGGCCUGUGUCCCUGGCCACUGCUGGACCUGUGGUUUUCAGGGCUGGGACCUAGGACCACAGGCAGAGCUCUGUUCGACCAGAGAGGAGACUGAGUGUGCUGGCAGGGGUGAGGGGUUUUCCGUGGCCCAGCCAAACACCACCUUCUCUCAACGGCCCUGUCCUCAUCCCAGAAGUGGUUGUUUUCCUCCUGUGGUCUCUGAAACACACAGGCAUGGCUCUGGGACAGAGCCAUGUGGUGACGACUGUAAUGGGAGUAUGCCUGUCUCCAAAAAGAGGGCUGUGGCUUGAAGGUCAGCUUAAGAGGCACCCCUGUCCUUUGAUGUCACCCUGGAGGCCCAGAGUAACUCUUCUGGAAGCCCCAUCAUGUCCAUGCCCGACAGCGUCCAUUGUUCCCUUUUCCCAGAGCCAAGAGCUGGUUAGAGCUGCAAGGACACCACCUGCACAGGAUGCCCGGGGCUGGGCAUUACCUGCUGCAAUGACAACAUCUGGCUGGAUGGCAGAGAGCUGAUGGACCGUUGCGACGUCCCAGUCCAGCUGGGCCACUGUCACCCUGGGGCUAAGUUGGCAGUGAUAUCUGCCCCUAAUGAGAGGCCAUUGAGAAGGACAUUCCCUCAGAGCUGCUAGAGGACCCGGCUGUGACAGUCGCUGAAGAUGUAUGCCCGGGGGCGGCACAUCUUGCAGAUGGCCAGGCCUGUGAGGCCGGCACCACUGCCAAGCUCUAGGACAGUCCUGGCGGGAGGAAAGGGGAUCAUGUCUGCAACUGCACCAGGGUAAGCCUGCCUCGGUGCCCUGCCCUGUGCCCUGAGGUCACCUAUCAGUGAAGGCUGCUGGGUUCUAGAUGGCCCAUUCUGCAAGGUAGAGGGUGGCAUCCCAUGUGACCAGGACUGUGAUGCCGUGGGAGAUGAUGGCUGUGCUCUUGGAGAGUGUGACUGAGCCUCCCGAGGGCAGCACCAAGAGAAGGCGAGAGAGUCAGUCCAGCGAUCAGAAGGCAAGUGGCUUAGAAGACAAGCAGCCAUCCACUACAUGGCUGAAUAAAUCAUGACAGGACCAAUCGCCACUCAGCAAUGAGAAGCAGCUAACUGUUGACAUGCCAACAGCUUGCACAGGCCUCAAGGGUGUCACAUGGCAUGAAAGACACUCAUCUCAGGCCACACAGGAUUCCAUUCAUUGAACAUUCCUGAGACAAUGGAAUUCUGGCGAUGGAGCACAGCUCUGUUCCCCACGCUGGAGUC
This 1607-nucleotide long non-coding RNA is filed under the name Pan troglodytes (chimpanzee). Its description in RNAcentral is "long non-coding RNA NONPTRT003134". The record is from RNAcentral. Lineage: Eukaryota; Metazoa; Chordata; Mammalia; Primates; Hominidae.